CAUGUCGAGCGCUCUUCAGCUAUGUAGAGAGCGCGGCGAACGGCUCAAUAACACGUAGUUAACCUACCCUCGGGAUGGGAAUAACCCCGGGAAACUGGGAUUAAUACCCACUAGAUGAUUAUACCUGGAAUGGCUUAUCAUCGAAAGAGUCUGGAAACAUGCUUCCAGCGUCGCCCGAGGAUGGGACCGCGUCCGAUCAGGUAGUUGGUGGGGUAAUGGCCUACCAAGCCUAUAACCGGUACGGGCCCUGAGAGGGGGAGCCCGGAGAUGGAAACUGAGAAAAGGUUCCAGGCCCUACGGGGUGCAGCAGGCGCGAAACCUCCACAAUGCGCGAAAGCGUGAUGGGGUUAUCCCGAGUGCCGUCCGAUGAGGAUGGCUUUUUAUCGAUGUAAGGAUUCGAUAGAAUAAAGGGGGGGCAAGACUGGUGUCAGCCGCCGCGGUAAUACCAGCCCCCUGAGUGGUAAGGACGAUUAUUUGGCCUAAAGCGUUCGUAGCCGGCUUAUCAAGUCUUUUGUUAAAUCCAACGAUUCAAUCGUUGGGCCGCAAAAGAUACUGUUAUGCUAGAGGACGGGAGAGGUCGGCGGUAGUCCAGGGGUAGGGGUGAAAUCCUAUAAUCCUUGGAGGACCACCAGUGGCGAAGGCGGUCGACUAGAACGUGCCUGACGGUGAGGGACGAAAGCUGGGGGAGCGAACCGGAUUAGAUACCCGGGUAGUCCCAGCUGUAAACGAUGCGGGCUAGGUGUUGGGGCAGCCACGAGCUGCUCCAGUGCCGCAGAGAAGUUGUUAAGCCCGCCGCCUGGGGAGUACGG
Molecule: ribosomal RNA, 809 nt
Filed under: uncultured archaeon
Lineage: Archaea
Description: bacterial SSU rRNA
Rfam family: Archaeal small subunit ribosomal RNA
Source: RNAcentral